GAUGAAGAACGCAGCGAAAUGCGAUAACUAAUGUGAAUUGCAGAAUUCAGUGAAUCAUCGAGUCUUUGAACGCACAUUGCGCCCCCUGGUAUUCCGGGGAGCAUGCCUGUCCGAGCGUCAUUGCUGCCCUCAAGCACGGCUUGUGUGUUGGGCUCCGUCCCCCCGGGGACGGGCCCGAAAGGCAGCGGCGGCACCGAGUCCGGUCCUCGAGCGUAUGGGGCUUUGUCACCCGCUCUGUAGGCCCGGCCGGCGCCAGCCGACAACCCAUCAUCCUUUUCAGGUUGACCUCGGAUCAGGUAGGGAUACCCGCUGAACUUAAGCAUAUCAAUAAGCGGAGGA
RNAcentral lists this unclassified non-coding RNA (339 nucleotides) under soil metagenome. RNAcentral describes it as "partial contains 5.8S ribosomal RNA, internal transcribed spacer 2, and large subunit ribosomal RNA". The stretch from base 1 to 120 matches the Rfam family "5.8S ribosomal RNA", at positions 35 to 154 of the family's 154-position model. The record is from RNAcentral.